UGGGGGAUAUUGCACAAUGGGCGAAAGCCUGAUGCAGCGACGCCGCGUGGGGGAUGAAGGCCUUCGGGUUGUAAACUUCUUUUGCUCUGAACAAGGCGCACCAUGGGGUGUGUUGAGUGUAGGGGUUGAUUAGCGCCGGCUAACUACGUGCCAGCAGCCGCGGUAAUACGUAGGGCGCGAGCGUUGUCCGGAAUUAUUGGGCGUAAAGGGCUUGCAGGUGGCUGGUUGCGUCUGUCGUGAAAGCUCAUGGCUUAACUGUGGGUUUGCGGUGGGUACGGGCUGGCUUGAGUGCAGUAGGUGAGGCUGGAAUUCCUGGUGUAGCGGUGGAAUGCGCAGAUAUCAGGAGGAAUACCGGUGGCGAAGGCGGGUCUCUGGGCUGUUACUGACACUGAGGAGCGAAAGCAUGGGGAGCGAACAGG
RNAcentral lists this ribosomal RNA (419 nucleotides) under bacterium. RNAcentral describes it as "partial 16S ribosomal RNA". It matches the Rfam family "Bacterial small subunit ribosomal RNA", at positions 355 to 776 of the family's 1533-position model. The record is from RNAcentral.